UGGUUGAGGCCUCGGGUGCAAAGAGCCUCGCUCUCGGGAGGGGGAAGGACAAGAACCGACCGGCCAGGCCUGGGGGUCUGGUGGGGGCCGGGAGAGCUGUCCCUUUUUUCCUGUUCGCUUGUCCAGACCCUGAAUCCCGCGAGCCCUGAGCAGGGAGGCACCGGGCGAGAGACGGGUAGCAGCACCCGGCGCCGCCCAGGUCGCCCCGGGCAGCAGGACCGAGGGCUGCGCGGCGAGAAGCGCCCGGGACUCCGGGCCGAGGGGGCAGUGGAGCGGGGCACGACCCGGGCCCGGCCAACCGUGCCGGGCGCGCCUCGGGGAGCACACGGAGGCCGCCCCUCGGCGCAGGACAGCCACAGAGCGGCCGGUGAGCCCGGGGCCAACUCCACAACUUGCCGGCCCAGCUGCCUCCCCCCCCCCCCACCCCCACCCCGAGUUCCCGGGAAGAUUCGGACCCGGCAGGAGAGGCGGAAUAUCCCCGGAAACGAUUCCUCCCCGAGGCUGAGCCCACCCCGCCGUCCGCGUCCGCUCCCGCCGCAGGCAGCGCGGUCCCCGGCGCCCCGACGCCCCCGCGGCCCUGCCAGCCGCCGCCGCCGCCGCCGCCGCCGCCGCCGCGGGGCCGCGCUCCCGGGCCGUUUCCGGCGGCGCCCGCGGCCGCUCCUGCAGCCCCCGGCCGCGGCCGCCACUCACCCGAGGCCGCCGCGGCUCCGCGCCUCGGGCUCCGUCAGGCGCACUCCACGAAGGCGCCCCGCCGCCCCGUGCUCCCUCGGCGCCCCGGCGAGCUCUCCCCUCCGGUCAGCAGCGCUGCCAAGCGCAGUGGCAGCCGCGGGGCCACCGGCGGGCGUGCGCGGGCGGGCGGGAGGGCUUGGGGCCGGCGCGUCCCUCCGCCUCGGCCGCCUCCUCCACCUCCUCCGCCUCCGCCUCCUCCGCCUCCGCCGCCGCCGCCGCCGCCUCCCGAGUUCGGGGCUCUGCUGCAAUGUCUGCGAGGCUGACUUUGAGCGCCUCGCUCGCCGCCCGCCCGCCCGCAGCCGCGCUCCUCCCUCCGCCGCCGAGUCCGCCGCGGCCCAGUCCCUCCCCUCGCCGCUCCACGCCAUUCAGCUCUUCAGCCAAGUUUCUUAA
RNAcentral lists this long non-coding RNA (1119 nucleotides) under Felis catus (domestic cat). RNAcentral's name for it is "lncRNA (ENSFCAG00000041473.2)". The record is from RNAcentral. Lineage: Eukaryota; Metazoa; Chordata; Mammalia; Carnivora; Felidae.